CAAUGAUGUAUCAAUAAAACCUCUUGCUGCUGGGAUCUGCUUACCUGGUGGCCAGGGUGGCAAGACAAGUGAAGCUUGACUAUGCAGCGUCCACUGUGGAAACUACUACAUCUUUGCCAUGCCAAACACAGCACACUUCUGGUCAGCCUAUACAGUUUCUGUCCUGGUGAGGAGCAUGGUUACCAACAGGCAAGAUCUUCUGGCCUUGAAGUUUCACUUGAGUUAAAAGAGCUCAUCUCAGGACUUUCUGAAUUUUCAGCCCAUAUGACAUGGAAGAAGAGUUAGAAGGGGAAUCUGACUGCUUGGAUCAGGGACUGUCUGGCUGGUGGAACUUGAAUGUAUACAACACUCUUCAUUUGCAUGUUUUGACAUUUUAAAAAAUGUUUUCACUUUCCUUAUCUACUUUGACUCUAAUGACAUCCUAAAAGGUAAGUAGAAUUAUUCUCAUAAUAUGAUGAAGAACCCAAGGCUCUCAAGGGAACACCACUCUUGGAUUAUUUAGCCCUGCUCUUCUACAAGAAUUGCAUACCCCAACCCCUGGAGCCCUCCC
RNAcentral lists this non-coding RNA (550 nucleotides) under Pongo abelii (Sumatran orangutan). The record is from RNAcentral. Lineage: Eukaryota; Metazoa; Chordata; Mammalia; Primates; Hominidae.